UGAACAGAACGAGCUGUAUGUAUAAAAGUCCAUAAACACUGGGAGUGCCCAUGGUACAAACUCUUAACUCUCAGGUACACAGAUACUGAUCUCCUCCAGAGGAGUACCAGCAAGCCAGCAGGAGAGAGUUCUUAUUCAUAUUCAGUAUAAACUCGCAUAACUAGUGCCCAUACUACAUAGGGAUAGAGGCUGCGCGCUUCAACUCCACGUGGAUGGAUGAGCUGAGCACCAGCUUGACGGAUCGUCGCUCAUUACACACUGCAGGUCAAUCAUGCGUGCAAAGAUUUGAUUAAUG
Molecule: long non-coding RNA, 295 nt
Filed under: Triticum aestivum (bread wheat)
Lineage: Eukaryota; Viridiplantae; Streptophyta; Magnoliopsida; Poales; Poaceae
Description: long non-coding RNA (TAES_LNC005545)
Source: RNAcentral